AGCAGCCGCGGUAAUUCCAGCUCCAAUAGCGUAUAUUAAAGUUGUUGCAGUUAAAAAGCUCGUAGUUGAAUUUCGGGGUUAGUAGGUUGGUCAUGCCUCUGGUAUGUACUGGUCUCACUGAUUCCUCCUUCCUGAUGAGCCGUAAUGCCAUUAAUUUGGUGUUGCGGGGAAUUUGGACUGUUACUUUGAAAAAAUUAGAGUGUUUAAAGCAGGCUCACGCUUGAAUACAUUAGCAUGGAAUAAUGAAAUAGGACGUUUGAUCCUAUUUUGUUGGCUUCUAGGAUUGACGUAAUGAUUAAUAGGGAUAGUUGGGGGCAUUAGUAUUCAAUUGUCAGAGGUGAAAUUCUUGGAUUUAUUGAAGACUAACUACUGCGAAAGCAUUUGCCAAGGAUGUUUUCAUUAAUCAAGAACGAAAGUUAGGGGAUCGAAGACGAUCAGAUACCGUCGUAGUCUUAACCAUAAACUAUGCCGACUAGGGAUCGGAUGAUGUUAAUUUUUUAAUGACUCAUUCGGCGCCUUA
This 520-nucleotide ribosomal RNA is filed under the name uncultured Glomus. RNAcentral describes it as "SSU rRNA". It matches the Rfam family "Eukaryotic small subunit ribosomal RNA", at positions 569 to 1090 of the family's 1831-position model. The record is from RNAcentral. Lineage: Eukaryota; Fungi; Glomeromycota; Glomeromycetes; Glomerales; Glomeraceae.